UGAGGUUGUGUUUCUACAGCUUUGAGGAUAUGGACAUUAAUUUCAAAUCUGCCUGGAGCAUAUUGUGCAGCUCGAGGAAUAAGCAAGCAAUUAUUUCCUCAGAAGCUGGUCUGGACAUUCCUGAGAAGUGGAUAUCAGAAAAGAGGGAUCCAUAAAAUCAUCGAGUCUGAAGUGAAGCAUGGGAGGUGGCAGCAAGAGAAGCAAAUGCAACAUGAAGGCCAACCUUCUCUUGUGCUGAGUGAUUUGUUGCUCUAUUUCAAAGUGCAACCAGGAAUCCAGCACAUUGCUGUGUCUAGACUCACUUAUCGACCCGGCCAGACCAGAAAAAGGAUGUUGAUUUCCUUGCAAAGAAUACAUGACAGAAUCAGGGGGUCAGACUUGAUUUGUUCAUCACCUGUCUGUGUCAUUAGGCCCAAAGUCAUGCAGCAGAAAGGGCUUUAGCUCCUUGAAUGUACAGCCAUUCCCAGUGUAUCAUGCUGCUACAGCUCAAGAUUCAGGUUGACAGCUGGCUGACGUUAUUUUUGGUUUGCUGCUGGCGGCAAAUUCAAGUUUGGCGUUUUUCAUAAAUACAAGAAGGACUCAAAUAGACGUUGAGUAUUUUACUUAAAAGUAACCUUCAACCCAACGUCUUUUUUUUCGGAGUUCAAAAUGUUUUUGUUGCAUGCAGAAAUGUAAUUUCGUUUUCUCUGCAGGAGUUCAUCAAUUUCAUAAAUGCAACACAUUAUAGUUUGUUUAUACAUAGCAUAAAGGCAAAACAAAACGUUGUAUGCAGUGUUAUUUCAUUUUAAAUGUCAAACGGGU
Long non-coding RNA from Hypanus sabinus (Atlantic stingray), 801 nucleotides. RefSeq lists it as uncharacterized. The record is from RefSeq and is a predicted model, not a curated record. The transcript has 3 exons. NCBI's taxonomy places the organism in Eukaryota, Metazoa, Chordata, Chondrichthyes, Myliobatiformes, Dasyatidae.